GGCUACCACAUCUAAGGAAGGCAGCAGGCGCGUAACUUACCCACUCCCAGUUCAGGGAGGUAGUGACAAUAAAUACCUUACAGAGGUCUCGUUAACCGAGAUCUCUCAAACGGAAUGAGUACAACGUGAAUCCUUUAACGAGGAUCGACUGGAGGGCAAGCCUGGUGCCAGCAGCCGCGGUAAUUCCAGCUCCAGUAGCGUAUAUUAAAGCUGUUGCGGUUAAAAAGCUCGUAGUUGGAUAUCAGUGCGUGUCCGGUCCGGUAUGCCUGGCGGCGGCGCUCGCGCGUCACUGCUGGGCUCCCAAAUAUCGGCUGGCCGCAUUCAAUCGUGCCGGAUCCGUCGUCGGGCCGUUCUUCGGAGGGGCCUGAUGGCGACCGGCGACGUUACCUUGAACAAAUUAGAGUGCUCAAAGCAGGCUCUUAAUGCCUGUAUACAUAUUCAUGGAAUUGGAGAAUACGUCCCUGGCUCGAUUUGGUUGGUUUUGAGAGUCGAAGGGAAAUGAUUAAUAGGGACUGACGGAGGCAUUCGUAUUGCGACGCGAGGGGUGAAAUCCUGUGACCGUCGCACGACGAACUACUGCGAAAGCAUUUGCCGAGAAUGUUUUCAUUAGUCAAGAACGAAAGUUAGAGGUUCGAAGGCGAUCAGAUACCGCCCUAGUUCUAACCGUAAACGAUGUCGACCAGCAAUCCGCAACGGUCACUACACGGACUGUGCGGGCAGCUUCCCCGGGGAAACCAGAGUUUUUGGACUCCGGGGGAAGUAUGGUUGCAAAGCUGAAACUUAAAGGAAUUGACGGAAGGGCACCACCAGGAGUGGAGCUUGCGGCUUAAUUUGACUCAACACGGGACAACUCACCAGGCCCGGACACCGUAAGGAUUGACAGACUGAUAGCUCUCUCUUGAUUCAGUGGGUGGUGGUGCAUGGCCGUUCUUAGUUGGUGGAGUGAUUUGUCUGGUUUAUUCCGAUAACGAACGAGACUCUGGCCUAUUAAACUUGAAACUGUCAGUCUCUUGUGACUGCGGUUUGCUUCUUAGAGGGAUCAUCGGCGUCCCAGCCGAAGGAAAUGGAGCAAUAACAGGUCUGUGAUGCCCUUAGAUGUUCUGGGCUGCACGCGUGUUACACUGAAGUGGUCAGCGCGCCGUUCAACACCCCUCUCCGUGAGGAGCUGGGCAAACGUUUGAACCCUUUUCGUGAUGGGAAUUGGGGGUUGCAAUUGUCCCCCAUGAACGAGGAAUUCCAAGUAAGCGCAGGUCACUAGCCUGCGUUGAUUAAGUCCCUGCCCUUUGUACACACCGCCCGUCGCUACUACCGAUGGAUGAUUUGGUGAGGUCGCCUAGACUGGCUGCUGGCUUCGGCCGUGCGGCCGGGAAGACGCCCAAACUUGGUCGUCUAGAGGAAGUAAAAGUCGUAACAAGGUUUCC
RNAcentral lists this ribosomal RNA (1421 nucleotides) under Amphibalanus reticulatus. RNAcentral describes it as "SSU rRNA". It matches the Rfam family "Eukaryotic small subunit ribosomal RNA", at positions 405 to 1804 of the family's 1831-position model. Lineage: Eukaryota; Metazoa; Arthropoda; Thecostraca; Balanomorpha; Balanidae. The record is from RNAcentral.